UGGUGGACUCCAAUUCGCAUA
Molecule: microRNA, 21 nt
Filed under: Paeonia lactiflora (Chinese peony)
Lineage: Eukaryota; Viridiplantae; Streptophyta; Magnoliopsida; Saxifragales; Paeoniaceae
Description: pla-miR11606
Source: miRBase by way of RNAcentral